GUCUACGACCAUACCACUCUGGAUGCACUGAUCUCGUCUGAUCUCAGAAGCUAAGUAGGGUUGGGCCUGGUAAGUAUGUGGAUG
Molecule: ribosomal RNA, 84 nt
Filed under: Vulpes vulpes (red fox)
Lineage: Eukaryota; Metazoa; Chordata; Mammalia; Carnivora; Canidae
Source: RNAcentral